Molecule: ribosomal RNA, 497 nt
Filed under: uncultured bacterium
Lineage: Bacteria
Description: partial 16S ribosomal RNA
Rfam family: Bacterial small subunit ribosomal RNA
Source: RNAcentral
GACGAACGCUGGCGGCGUGCCUAAUACAUGCAAGUUGAGCGCUGAAGGUUGGUACUUGUACCAACUGGAUGAGCAGCGAACGGGUGAGUAACGCGUGGGGAAUCUGCCUUUGAGCGGGGGACAACAUUUGGAAACGAAUGCUAAUACCGCAUAAAAACUUUAAACACAAGUUUUAAGUUUGAAGGAUGCAAUUGCAUCACUCAAAGAUGAUCCCGCGUUGUAUUAGCUAGUUGGUGAGGUAAAGGCUCACCAAGGCGAUGAUACAUAGCCGACCUGAGAGGGUGAUCGGCCACAUUGGGACUGAGACACGGCCCAAACUCCUACGGGAGGCAGCAGUAGGGAAUCUUCGGCAAUGGACGAAAGUCUGACCGAGCAACGCCGCGGGAGUGAAGAAGGGUUUCGGAUCGUAAAACUCUGUUGGUAGAGAAGAACGUUGGUGAGAGUGGAAAGCUCAUCAAGUGACGGUAACUACCCAGAAAGGGACGGCUAACUACGUG